This 510-nucleotide ribosomal RNA is filed under the name uncultured bacterium. RNAcentral's name for it is "partial 16S ribosomal RNA". It matches the Rfam family "Bacterial small subunit ribosomal RNA", at positions 28 to 507 of the family's 1533-position model. The record is from RNAcentral.
GACGAACGCUGGCGGCGUGCUUAACACAUGCAAGUCGAACGAAGAGCGAUGGAAGCUUGCUUCUAUCAAUCUUAGUGGCGAACGGGUGAGUAACGCGUAAUCAACCUGCCCUUCAGAGGGGGACAACAGUUGGAAACGACUGCUAAUACCGCAUACGAUCUAACCUCGGCAUCGAGGAUAGAUGAAAGGUGGCCUCUACAUGUAAGCUAUCACUGAAGGAGGGGAUUGCGUCUGAUUAGCUAGUUGGAGGGGUAACGGCCCACCAAGGCGAUGAUCAGUGGCCGGUCUGAGAGGAUGGACGGCCACAUUGGGACUGAGACACGGCCCAGACUCCUACGGGAGGCAGCAGUGGGGAAUCUUCCGCAAUGGACGAAAGUCUGACGGAGCAACGCCGCGUGAGUGAUGACGGCCUUCGGGUUGUAAAGCUCUGUUAAUCGGGACGAAAGGCCUUCUUGCGAAUAGUUAGAAGGAUUGACGGUACCGGAAUAGAAAGCCACGGCUAACUACGUG